Molecule: small RNA, 70 nt
Filed under: Arabidopsis thaliana (thale cress)
Lineage: Eukaryota; Viridiplantae; Streptophyta; Magnoliopsida; Brassicales; Brassicaceae
Description: ATSL192630
Source: RNAcentral
CUACCAAACCCUGUUUUCUUUGAUCAAGAAGAAGAAGAAGAAGACGAAGAAGAAGAAUAUGAUGAAGAAU